UAUAUUAAUUCCAUCGAUGGUUUGCAUCUGAUUCCAGGUGUCUAGGGGUGAGUGCCCAGAGGUGGCUAGCCGCAGUGAACAGGCUAUCGAGAACAGAAAUGCCAAGUGCAAUCCCGAGAGGCGCGGCUGCCCCAGGAUCUACAUGCCCGUGUGCGGGUCCGACAAGCACACCUACCCUAACGAGUGCGAGCUGUGCAGGAAAAUGUUGGAGGCUCCGGUGAAGACAGAGAUCCGAGUCCGCCAUGAGGGCGAGUGCACUCCCGAGGAGAAUGGAGAGGAGGCACAGGCACCAGGCAGCAAGCCAGGUGGCAGACGGCUGUAGUUGCCAGCUGCCAGGUGCGACAGCUGGUAGCGGAGUAAUCAGUAGCUGCCUUUAAGGCAAAGCUGCAAAUCGAUGAAGAGCAUUGUCAUAAAAAUGUAAUUCUAUUCCAUAUGAAGCCCAGAAAACGUGAAAGGUAGCAUUUACUAAAACUGUUCUGUUAUGGCACUGGUGCCAUAACGUCAAAGAUGUAUAGUGAUGUACCCCCCCCCCCCCAAUAACAUGGCUGUCGGACAGUUGCAGUAUGUGCUGUUGUUAAGUGUACGUUUUCUGACUAUAAAGUCACAGGGCUGGUUCGGUUUGACUAGCUGUCAAUUGAGAAUAUACUGUCUGGAAUUUCUGGA
Long non-coding RNA from Branchiostoma floridae (Florida lancelet), 663 nucleotides. RefSeq lists it as uncharacterized. The record is from RefSeq and is a predicted model, not a curated record. Lineage: Eukaryota; Metazoa; Chordata; Leptocardii; Amphioxiformes; Branchiostomatidae. The transcript has 3 exons.